AACGAACGCUGGCGGCAUGCCUAACACAUGCAAGUCGAACGAGACCUUCGGGUCUAGUGGCGCACGGGUGCGUAACGCGUGGGAACCUGCCCUUAGGUUCGGAAUAACUCCCCGAAAGGGGUGCUAAUACCGGAUAAUGUCUUCGGACCAAAGAUUUAUCGGCGUUGGAUGGGCCCGCGUUGGAUUAGCUAGUUGGUAGGGUAAAAGCCUACCAAGGCGACGAUCCAUAGCUGGUCUGAGAGGAUGAUCAGCCACACUGGGACUGAGACACGGCUCAGACUCCUACGGGAGGCAGCAGUGGGGAAUAUUGGACAAUGGGCGAAAGCCUGAUCCAGCCAUGCCGCGUGAGUGAUGAAGGCCUUAGGGUUGUAAAGCUCUUUUACCCGGGAUGAUAAUGACAGUACCGGGAGAAUAAGCCCCGGCUAACUCCGUG
RNAcentral lists this ribosomal RNA (433 nucleotides) under uncultured bacterium. RNAcentral's name for it is "partial 16S ribosomal RNA". It matches the Rfam family "Bacterial small subunit ribosomal RNA", at positions 29 to 507 of the family's 1533-position model. The record is from RNAcentral.